GCCGGAGUGGUGGAAUUGGAAGACGCGCCGGAUUCAAAAUCCGGUGGGCAUUACGCCCGUGUGGGUUCGAGUCCCACCUCCGGUA
RNAcentral lists this transfer RNA (85 nucleotides) under Caldithrix sp. RNAcentral's name for it is "tRNA-Leu". It matches the Rfam family "tRNA". Rfam says of the family: Transfer RNA (tRNA) molecules are approximately 80 nucleotides in length. Their secondary structure includes four short double-helical elements and three loops (D, anti-codon, and T loops). Further hydrogen bonds mediate the characteristic L-shaped molecular structure. tRNAs have two regions of fundamental functional importance: the anti-codon, which is responsible for specific mRNA codon recognition, and the 3' end, to which the tRNAs corresponding amino acid is attached (by aminoacyl-tRNA synthetases). tRNAs cope with the degeneracy of the genetic code in two manners: having more than one tRNA (with a specific anti-codon) for a particular amino acid; and 'wobble' base-pairing, i.e. permitting non-standard base-pairing at the 3rd anti-codon position. The record is from RNAcentral. Lineage: Bacteria; Pseudomonadati; Calditrichota; Calditrichia; Calditrichales; Calditrichaceae.